UUAUUGGCCCUACCAAAAUCAAUCGACCAAACCGUCCAAUUAUUGUCCAUAACGCCAUAUGGUCCUCUCUCACUCAAUUCUCUCUCACUCAAUUCUCUCUCACCUCAAUUCUUUCCUCUGUCUAACUCUUCAUCUCCCUCAAACUAUUCAUUUUCCUCAGAAAAAUUGUGGUUUUCGUUAUUUCACUCGUUUAGAUCUGGUAUUUUUGUUCAGUUAGUUGUGGUAGGGUUUUGUUCAGUUGGUUGCAUCAUCGCCGCUUCUGUCUCUGAGCUUCAUCGUCGUCUUCAAGCAUCACCGCCGCUUCUUUAUCAGAUUUCAAGAGCUAUGCAAGUUUGCAGCGUAACGGUAUAUUAUUUUUGUUAUUCUGUUAAUUUGUAAGAUUAUUUUAAAUUUUUACAACUAAUGUUGAGUUAAAAGUUGAAAUUAUUGAACUAAUCUAAACUUAAGGCUUUGAUCUCCCCUUUUUUUUUUCGUGCAUUGUUCCAAGUAUAAAAUUAUAAAGUAUAUUGGCUUAAUCUACUGUUAGUUCUGGUUUUCUAUUGUUGUUGAAUGUUGAUUGACUGUUUUUCUGCUGGAAUUAUGAGAUAUUGGUUGGGAAAUGUUGCAUGUUGUUCAUGAAAUUAUGUAAUUUGAUUAUGAAAUUGUAAAUGUUUUAGAGAGACAGAAUUCAUGAACUUUAUGGGAAGUAUAGCUUGUAAAUUUUUAUGGGAAGUAUAGUUGGACUGUAGAAACUGAGAAAGUUUAGCAUCCAUACAUUACAAGCUUCAUUGGCUUGAAAUCGGCUCAGAUUGUGUAAACUAAAAUGUCCUUGAAACUGGGAAACCUUGUGUUCCUGAGGUUUUUGUGCUUCAUAGAACCAAAACAACUCAAAAGAGUAUUCAAGUUUUGUGCUUCCAACUUUAUGGGAAGUAUAGCUUGUAAAUUUUUAUGCCUACCAGACAAGUACUAACACUUCUUUAAUAAUAGUCGCCUGAGGAGACUUUAACUUUGAUGCAGAAGUUUAGAAUGCUCCAGAAAUCUUUUCAUAGUAUAAAAAGAGAUGAUUUUUCUGUCUUUUCUUUGCAUGUAGGCUACAAAUGAAAAUCUUCCACAAAAUCUUAUUAAGCAGCUUGCAAAAGAGUUAAAAAAUCUCGACGAAACACCUCCAGAAGGAAUCAAAGUGGGCGUUAAUGAUGAUGAUUUCACAACCAUAUUUGCUGAUAUAGAUGGCCCAGGUUUGUUUGAGUUUGAUAGGGUGACUUUGGAAAGGUUGAAGAUUGAAGAUUUGUAUAUUGAAGAAGAAAUGAUUUCUUUCUAAUGUAUUACAUAGAUUUUUUGUUAUUAUUUAUUUAAGUAAGGAUGUAAAUUAUUCACAAAUUUUGAUUUAUCAUUUGGGUUUUUUGUCCCAAACUACCUUUAACUUUUAUGUUUUUGCGAGAAACUACCUUAUAAAUAAAUUGUUGUCCCAAACUACCUUACUUUUACCAUUUUGUUGUUGACAACUACCUUAGGCCGAUUUCCGACGUUGACUUUUGUUUUUUCCGCUUUUUUAUUGUCACAUUAUAUCACUUGACCUCUUCAAAUCCUUUUUUUAAUUUUCCCCACCCUAAUUUCCUCAUUUUCCGGUGUGCGCGCGCUUUCUCCCUCAUAUCUAUGUGACACUUUGUACCACCAAUCCACCAUUAAAUUCCUCUUCUACUUAAACUAAAAUUGAAACAAUCACCCUCCUCAAUUCCCACAAGGUAAUUUUAUUUUUCCCACAAUUUUGAACUGGAAAAAACAAAAGUCAAUGCCGGAAACCGGCAUAAGGUAGCUGUCAACAACAAAUUUGUAAAGUAAGGUAGUUUAGGACAACAAUUUUUUUAUAAGGUAGUUUCUCGCAAAAACUUGAAAGUUAAAGGUAGUUUGGGACAAAAAAUCCUUAUCAUUUCUAUUUAUAUUGUAAUUACUUUUAUUACAUAUAAUAAUAAUUAUAAUUUUUCCUUCUA
This is a long non-coding RNA of Beta vulgaris subsp. vulgaris (sugar beet), 1967 nucleotides long. RefSeq lists it as uncharacterized. Lineage: Eukaryota; Viridiplantae; Streptophyta; Magnoliopsida; Caryophyllales; Amaranthaceae. The record is from RefSeq and is a predicted model, not a curated record. The transcript is spliced from 3 exons.